UACGGGAGGCAGCAGUGGGGAAUUUUGGACAAUGGGGAAACCCUGAUCCAGCCAUCCCGGGCGUGUGCGAUGAAGGCCUUCGGGUUGUAAAAGCACUUUGGCAGGAAAGAAACGGCGGGGAUGGGUCAAUUUCGCAAAUUGACGGUGCCUGCAGAAUAAGCACCGCCAAUUCACGCCAGCAGCCGCGGUAAUACGUAGGGUGCAUGUUAAUCGGACUACUGGGCGUAAAGCGUGCGCAGGCGGUUCGGAAAGAAAGAUGUGAAAUCCCAGAGCUUAACCUUGAACUGCAUUUUUAACUACCGAGCUAGAGUGUGUCAGAGGGAGGUGGAAUCUGGCGUGUAGCAGGGAAAUGCGUAGAUAUGCGGAGGAACACCGAUGGCGAAGGCAGCCUCCCUGGGAUAACACUGACGCUCAUGCACGAAAGCGUGGGGAGCAAAUGGUAUUUGAGAUACUCCUGGUAGU
This 462-nucleotide unclassified non-coding RNA is filed under the name uncultured Bordetella sp. RNAcentral describes it as "partial 16S-23S ribosomal RNA intergenic spacer". It matches the Rfam family "Bacterial small subunit ribosomal RNA", at positions 340 to 794 of the family's 1533-position model. Lineage: Bacteria; Pseudomonadati; Pseudomonadota; Betaproteobacteria; Burkholderiales; Alcaligenaceae. The record is from RNAcentral.